AGCUCUGUCAUUAUUUUCCCAAAGAUCGAAGCUCCAUGAUCUCAGAGUAGUCACCUCCACGGGGCCAGCCCAGCCCUGGCUUUUGCAUCUGGACAUGUCUUGAGUUGAGGAGGUGACCGUCUCCAGGAGGAACAGAUGGUUGAGGAAGAGAAAAGGAAGCACGGCUCAGGGAGCCAGGAUUCUUCAGCCAUGACGUGAGGCCAUGCCGUUUCUGCCUGGGAGCUGGCGGACCAUGGACUAAAACCGUGAGCCAAAAUAAAUUCCCCUUCAAUUUGUAAAUGUCAGGUAUCAUGGCUCAGCGAUUAGAAAGUGACUAGGACAUCCACCAAUUCACUGGAUUCAGCGGGACCCCUG
Molecule: long non-coding RNA, 354 nt
Organism: Fukomys damarensis (Damara mole-rat)
Lineage: Eukaryota; Metazoa; Chordata; Mammalia; Rodentia; Bathyergidae
Exons: 3
Source: RefSeq, a predicted model, not a curated record